UUCUGGAGUCUUGUCUGUAUUCUUAAAGAAAGUGUGCAAGGAAGUUUGGACAGAUGUUCUCCAGGGAGAUAAGCAAUGCAGUGAAUUUGUUCACUAGUUUGGCAUUGCAUCAGAUCAAGCAUUGUAAAGUUGAAUCUGACAUCAUAAAGUUGAAACAGGUUGUCAAUUUAUAAACGUUGUAAGUGCGAAAUGUUGUAACACAAAGCGUUGUAAGUCGAGGAAUGCCUGUACUGUACUGUGUCCAGUUU
Gavialis gangeticus (Gharial) is the source of this 248-nucleotide long non-coding RNA. RefSeq lists it as uncharacterized. The record is from RefSeq and is a predicted model, not a curated record. The transcript has 3 exons. Lineage: Eukaryota; Metazoa; Chordata; Crocodylia; Gavialidae.